This 518-nucleotide ribosomal RNA is filed under the name uncultured bacterium. RNAcentral describes it as "partial 16S ribosomal RNA". It matches the Rfam family "Bacterial small subunit ribosomal RNA", at positions 355 to 861 of the family's 1533-position model. The record is from RNAcentral.
UGGGGAAUCUUCCGCAAUGGACGAAAGUCUGACGGAGCAACGCCGCGUGUAUGAUGAAGGUCUUCGGAUUGUAAAGUACUGUCAUUGGGGAAGAACGGUUUUCUUGAAAAGAUUGAGAAGACAUGACGGUACCCAAGGAGGAAGCCCCGGCUAACUACGUGCCAGCAGCCGCGGUAAUACGUAGGGGGCAAGCGUUGUCCGGAAUUAUUGGGCGUAAAGGGCGCGUAGGCGGGCCUUUAAGUCCGGUGUGAAAGAUCAGGGCUCAACCCUGAGAGUGCAUCGGAAACUGGAGGCCUUGAGGACAGGAGAGGAAAGUGGAAUUCCACGUGUAGCGGUGAAAUGCGUAGAUAUGUGGAGGAACACCAGUGGCGAAGGCGACUUUCUGGACUGUAACUGACGCUGAGGCGCGAAAGCGUGGGGAGCAAACAGGAUUAGAUACCCUGGUAGUCCACGCCCGUAAACGAUGAGCUGCUAGGUGUAGAGGGUAUCGACCCCUUCUGUGCCGCAGUUAACACAAU